RNAcentral lists this long non-coding RNA (1867 nucleotides) under Parus major (Great Tit). RNAcentral's name for it is "lncRNA (ENSPMJG00000005327.1)". Lineage: Eukaryota; Metazoa; Chordata; Aves; Passeriformes; Paridae. The record is from RNAcentral.
AUGGGCUGUUUGCUUACAAACCCAUUUUUUCACAAAGGGUUGCAGCUGCAUCUCGGCCCUGGCAGAUGGUGGGAGCUGUGUGCUCGUUCCCCUGUCCCAGCGUCCCGGGCUGCCGUGAUGGCCAUCCCUGCCGUGAGGAGGAGCGGCAGAGAUCCCCCGCACCCCCGGGAGCCCGCGGGCAGACACCGACCCUGCUCCGGGCUGGCGGCUAUCGCUGGGGGAGGCUAUCUCGUCCAGGACUACGUUUCCCAGCGGCUCCUCCCGGGGCUGCACAUGCUCGAUGCGGCUCCCGGCUCCUCCCGGCAGCUCCCGGCGCGGCGCCCGGUGCGGCGCAGGGGCGGUCGGUGCGGUUCCCGGUUCUCGUUCCCGGUGCGGCUCCCGGUGCGGCUCCCGGUACCAUCGGCGGCGCGGCGCUGCCCGGGGCGGUUCCCGAUUCCCGGGGCGGUUCCCGGUUCCAGGGGCGGUUCCCGGUGCCACCCCCGGCGGGGCAUCCUCCCGGUGCGCCCUCGGGAGAGCACGGCCGAGCCCCGCCGCCGCCCCGGGCCCGAGCGCCCCCGGGCCCCGCGGGCCGGCAGCAUGCCCCGCGGGCGAGCCUGGACGCAGGCGGAGGUCAGCAGCCUCCUGUCGCUGGUGGGGGGCUCGGGGGAGGCCGCACUGCUCAUGGCCUCCACGUCGCGACCCAACGAGGCGCUCUGGCGGGAGAUCUCCCGGGGUCUGGCGGCGGCCGGCUACGGGCGCAGCGUGGCCCAGUGCCGCUCCAAGUGGAAGGCGCUCAAGCAGGCUUUCCACUCGGAGCGGGAGACGCGCCGGAGGGCAGGACACCACUCGCCCCGGCUGCCGCCGCACUAUCGAGCCAUGAAGAGCAUCUGGAAGGCGGCCGGACGGCCCGUCUUCGGCGAACGGAGGAUGCCAGACGUGGUGAAGCUGCCCUCCAGAAAGCGCAGGUCAGCCCUUGCCACACGCUCUCCAUCCUCAUCAGAGACACCAGAGCAGGACGUUGGCGGGGACACCCCCUGCACACUGCUGUCUCCGAUGCUGCAGCGUGCGAAGGACGAGCCAGACACUCACGCCGAUUGCUGCUUCCCUCCCCUCUCCCUCCUGGGCUGUCACACUGACCCGAAACAGGAAGGAUUUGAGGGGAAGGCCGGUUCUGUGACAGGUUUUCCUGGUGAGACGUCCCUGGGGAUGGGAAGAGGAAACCAAAUGCUGCCCCUGGCUGUUGCAGCCACAGGCUCCCAUGAGACAGCAGCCACGAGUGAGCAGCCAGCAACAGCUGAAGAUGCAUCAGACACAAGCCUGCAUGGUGGGUGCUCCCUGCAGCUUCCCAACACCCUCACAGAGAGCUCUCAGAGCCAUGGUGAGGUGCCAUUGACCCCUCUCUCACUGCAGGGUCUGGCGUGGCAGGCUUGCUCCAGAAUGUCCAGCAACUGCUGGUGCAGAUCCUGCAGACAUCACGGCGGCAGCAGGCACUGCUGGAGAGCCUGGCCAGUGACACAGUCUCCCACCUCCACCUCCUUUCCCACAGUCUCGUGCAGGUGGGCGAGACCUUGCACCAACUCCUGCUCCGGCCACAGAUCCAUCCUGGCCCCAUUGGCCACUACAUCCCCCAUAUGCCCCUUUUUGAGGGUGGCUCUGGAGUGCCCUGCUCCCCUGGUGCUCCCCACACUUCCCUGGAUCACAAAGAGGAGCCUCAGCUGUCCCCCAAUGCCAGGUGCAUCACCCCGUGAGUGCCACCAUCACUGGCCACAGGAGCAACAGCUUUGCUACACAGCCACAGCACAGAUCUUUAUAUCAGAGGUUCCAGAUAUUUUCAAAGUUUAUACUAGAGAGACAUUUUAAUAAAAUUAAAAAUAGCUUUUCUACCAGU